This 492-nucleotide ribosomal RNA is filed under the name uncultured bacterium. RNAcentral describes it as "partial 16S ribosomal RNA". It matches the Rfam family "Bacterial small subunit ribosomal RNA", at positions 29 to 507 of the family's 1533-position model. The record is from RNAcentral.
AGUGAACGCUGGCGGUAGGCCUAACACAUGCAAGUCGAACGGCAGCACAGUAAGAGCUUGCUCUUACGGGUGGCGAGUGGCGGACGGGUGAGGAAUACAUCGGAAUCUACUUUUUCGUGGGGGAUAAGGUAGGGAAACUUACGCUAUUACCGCAUACACCCUACGGGUGAAAGCAGGGGAUCUUCGGACUUUGGCGGAUUGAAUGGGCCGAUGUCGGAUUAGCUAGUUGGCGGGGUAAAGGCCCACCAAGGCGACGAUCCGUAGCUGGUCUGAGAGGAUGAUCAGCCACACUGGAACUGAGACACGGUCCAGACUCCUACGGGAGGCAGCAGUGGGGAAUAUUGGACAAUGGGCGCAAGCCUGAUCCAGCCAUACCGCGUGGGUGAAGAAGGCCUUCGGGUUGUAAAGCCCUUUUGUUGGGAAAGAAAAGCAGCAGGUUAAUACCCCGCUGUUCUGACGGUACCCAAAGAAUAAGCACCGGCUAACUUCGUG